UAACCCGCUCCCGCUCGCCGGCGCUGCCCGCGUACGGGAUCUUGUCUUCCGGUAGCGCGCUGAAGUACAGGUGUACCUGCGACACAUGGCGCGAAGGAAUGGUAAUUAAGAGCGAUUGGGACAGACGUGUUGUGAGAUAUCGGGAUUUUGCGCGUGUCUUGAUAAAUGGUUUGAUUGGUUUAAAGAAGCAAAUAGGUUAGAAUACAGUGUCGAGGGCAAAGGAGACACGAUGAACUGGAAAUGAAAAAUCUUUGAAUGGAAAACUUCUUUCAGUAGAUUUAGUGACUAAUUUAGCUUUUCUUGAUUGUUCGUUGAUGUUAUAUCUUGAUAUGUACAUACAUGGUUCGGUUGGUAAAGAGGUUAAGAAACGAAGAGGUUAGAAUAUAGAGUCUUGUGCAAAAGGAAUAAGGUGAAUUGAUUAAUUUACUUUCUUUUAGUUGUUUAUUGAUGCAAUCAGUUUAAGUGCUCGGCUUUUUCGUAUAUUUGUUAGAAAAUGAGGAGAAUAUUGUAAGUUGUAAAGAAAUGGAGGAACAUCGUUUUGAAAGGUUAAUAAGAGGUAUGUUCUUUUUAUGAAAGAUGAAGCAUUAUGUCCUAUAAUAUUUGUUUCUUGUAAUUAUUGUAUGAAUUUUAUGUGUUUAACCAACGUGACAUAAUUUAAAUUAAUAAUGAUCUUUCUUUAUGAAAAGAACUAGAAUUCAAUUGAUUAAUGCACCUGUGCGAUUGAUCAAUCGAGUUAGCUUCCAUAUCGAUAACGUGAUCAAGGAGUGUCAAUCGAUCGGCGCCUCCUGGAAACGCUCAAACGAUCAAACAGAACUUGAUAUGCUUCGAUUUAUUCGAUAUGGAAUAUCGAAUAUCUCUUUGAUCUCUGUGACGGUGAAUCUGAUAAAGAUGCACGUGCAUAAAUAAUUUCGAUGCUUUGAGAAUGAUUGCUUCAAGAAUUCGCCGUGUCCCACAAUAAAAAGAAAGAUAAACGAAUAGAACAUGAUUAUGAAAUUUCCUAUAUCGACUGUGAGGAAAAUAAAAAUAAAAGUUUGAAUUACACAAGUAAAUCUUUAAUGGACGGGUUAGCAAGUUUUACGAGAUGAAUCGAAGACCUUAAACGUUUUAUGUAUCGGCGAUCACGAUGGUCGAUAUUCAUCAUUCAUGAAUAAUUCAGAAAUGAAAUGCUUACAGUUACAUGGGACACGUGACGGACUCCUCCCUUGGACAAAACACUGGAAUGGGUCUGCAAUGUUUUAUUUCGCUUACGGGAUCGACGUUUGACCCGAAUCUUUUCUCAUUUAUAUUUCGUUUCUAUUUCUAACGUUUUUAUUAUGUAAAUAACUAAUUGUAAGUAGGAGGAAAGAGGAAGAAUAAUACAGCAGUAAUGGAAACACCGAUCACAUCAUGAACAUCAUGGUCCCAUUACCGUUAAUCUAAUUUCUGCAACUUAACCUAAAAAAAGAAUGGACAUUUCAACCACCACAUACAAGAAUAUAUAAUCGAUAAAUGUUAUUAGAUAUAUCUUGAGUUAAAAAUAAGUUCUAACGGCCAGAGUACAAAGAUAAAAUCGAGGGACCAUAGUUAUGUCAGUAUUCUAAGCAUGUCGAAUAAGUUAUUUUCUUACUUGAUCUGGCCUGAGGCCUGGCGGGACCCACGUGUACUCUUCGAGCGCGCAUCCGCUGUCAUCGUCGCUCUGCGAGUGCCUCUGAUGAUGCAUCAGAGCCUCUUGAAGGGCGAGGCCUGGCGGAGCCGGUUGCACGGGACUCUUGAAAGGUUCCUGGUGAGAAGAACCAGCGGCCCCGCUCUGAAAAGCCAUGGCCAUGGCCAUCGGCGGACCAGGACCGAGGCCGAGUCCCGAGGGACCGCCCGCCUCUGUCGAGGUCCGUUGAUGCUCCUCCCUGGGACACCUGCAGCUUCUGCACACCUUUCUGAAAUCAGAAUCGAGUGCUCUGGGUUAGAGAGGCUCAGGGCAACGAAAACGAGGUCAUUGGUCUUCUUUGCGUUUUGUUACGUGCUUUAAUCUUACACAGGAUUGGGCGGUGAUCGUAGUACAACCGGGCAGGGGCUGAUAUUACAUGAAAAAAUAAGUUGGAAAUAUAGAAUAACAUUUUUUCAUAUGACGCUUCGUUCAUGAGAAAAUCAAGUUUGAAAAUUUGUCAAAUAUACUUUAAGUUGGAUAGGUACAAAUUAGGUACGAGUAAACAAUCAGCAGGAUGCUAUUAUACACAUGGAAACAAAUCAAAAAUGUAAAUAAAUUUUUCCGCUGAUAGCCUUGUUCGAACUGGCCUAGUGUGUGCGUGUAAUACAUUUUCAAAUUUAUUUUUCUCAAGCAUGAAGCAUUAUAUGAAAAAUAUUGUUGUACAUUUUAGAUUUAUUUUCAAAUGUAGUUUAUAUGUUGAUUAUUUUAAGCAUACUUGUCAAAUCUUCGAAGACGAUGUUUCAGAUGAAAAAAUGUUAUACCAAAUUGUUUUCUUAUUUUUUUAUUUAAAACCACUCUCUGCCCGGUUUCACUACCAUUAGUCCUACCCUGUAUACUUUCAUAGUUUUAUUUUGGGUAAGGUUUCUAACCUAGCAAAUUUAUGUAGUUUAUACAGUAAAUUUAUUUUAAAUAAACUUUAUUUUCAUUCUAUGAAA
Long non-coding RNA from Bombus terrestris (buff-tailed bumblebee), 2616 nucleotides. RefSeq lists it as uncharacterized. The record is from RefSeq and is a predicted model, not a curated record. Lineage: Eukaryota; Metazoa; Arthropoda; Insecta; Hymenoptera; Apidae. The transcript has 2 exons.